Molecule: long non-coding RNA, 266 nt
Organism: Cucurbita moschata (crookneck pumpkin)
Lineage: Eukaryota; Viridiplantae; Streptophyta; Magnoliopsida; Cucurbitales; Cucurbitaceae
Exons: 2
Source: RefSeq, a predicted model, not a curated record
UUUUUUUUGUGGAUUGUAAAAAUCAGGUUCAGGUUUAAGGUUUUGUCUUGAAAUCAGUUGGCGAUUCGAGCCCCUUUCUUUAACGGGAUUCCCUUUUGUGGGCUUGGUUUUUUUAAUGCCGGGGUCGAGACAAAUGUAUCAACAAAAGAUUUGAGGUUUAUAACUCCGACUAAAUGUCUUAAUUACGAACAUUUGUCUAAAGUUUAUUAGAUUUACCUUUUUAUAUAGAAUUUCCCAUGAAUCAAGAACAUGGGUUACUGAAACAA